Long non-coding RNA from Branchiostoma belcheri (Belcher's lancelet), 1120 nucleotides. RefSeq lists it as uncharacterized. The record is from RefSeq and is a predicted model, not a curated record. The transcript has 3 exons. Lineage: Eukaryota; Metazoa; Chordata; Leptocardii; Amphioxiformes; Branchiostomatidae.
GAUUUAUUUCAAAUGUAUUGCACACCAGGGAAAAACCGUCUUGUGCCCAGGCAAGUCUGAACUUGACGUGUUUGUGUUGCUUUGAGCGUGCGAUCAUACGAUUCAUCUUAACCAACUAGCUCGGCUGGUAUUAGUCACGUGAAUAAGGACCAAUUAGCGUUGUAUCCGCAUAGCUUAUAGAGAAAGAUUUUCCCAGGUAAGAACACCUGCUGUGGAGUUGUGUGACGCAGCUGAAAUUUGACUUGCAAAAAGAAGUUUCCGUCGGUGAACGAACGCCAGAGAGCCCCAGACAUCAUGCCGGACCCCAACGAAAAAGAUAAGGAUAAGGACAAGGACAAGGAUUCCAGCAAGGGCAACGACCCACCGCCGCCGCCUCCCGGCACGAGGAACCCCCAGUAGUGCGGCUCCUGCACCAACCAUCGUUCCAUUGGCAUAGGACUUCACCUGAGUUCGCUGUUAACACUAACUCAAAGAAUUCGAAAUUUGACUCACCGGAAUUUUCAACCGAAUCAGUCGAUCUGCAUCGUACCCAUGUUCACUUCAGCACUGCUUUGAAAUUUGAACGCGAACGUCAGUCUCAUCAGAGCCUAUGCACACAAAAGCUAGAACUGAGCUAAACAGCUUUUGCAACAUAUAUUCACUUAGGAUGGUAAAUUUCCAGUUGCCUUGUGCAAGCUUAUGUCGUGUAAAAUCUGUCAAAUGAUAUUCCAUGCAAUCUGUGAUAACUGGUGUCAUCUAUCGCAAGUGGCCUGCUACAGUGACUGUGGUUAUGAUGAUGGACGGUUUGCUAAAGUAGAAGGAAUGAAUAGCAAGCUAACUUGUCACAGACCUACCUGGUGUUGUCAGCACAAUUAGAACUACCAGUGUCUGAGAGCAAACCAAAUACUAGUACGUCAUCGAGGAUCAGAUCACAUUGCAGUGUAAUAGAAGGUACUAAUAUUAUUUGUCAGUUUUUCAUACCAUCGCUGCUAUUACUGAUUACACAACAUCAACCACGUAGAAACACACAGCAUGUACAUAGAGUAUCAACACCUCAUGCCGACAGCCGGCCACCAGGAGAAAAUGCACGUGAAAGCAGAAUCAACAUGAUGCUGGAAUAAAGACAUGAGCUUACUUUAGA